GAUGAACGCUGGCGGCGUGCUUAACACAUGCAAGUCGAACGGAAAGGCUCCUGCUUGCAGUGGUACUCGAGUGGCGAACGGGUGAGUAACACGUGGGUGAUCUGCCCUGCACUUCGGGAUAAGCCUGGGAAACUGGGUCUAAUACCGGAUAGGACGAUGGUUUGGAUGCCAUUGUGGAAAGUUUUUCGGUGUGGGAUGAGCUCGCGGCCUAUCAGCUUGUUGGUGGGGUAAUGGCCUACCAAGGCGUCGACGGGUAGCCGGCCUGAGAGGGUGUACGGCCACAUUGGGACUGAGAUACGGCCCAGACUCCUACGGGAGGCAGCAGUGGGGAAUAUUGCACAAUGGGCGCAAGCCUGAUGCAGCGACGCCGCGUGGGGGAUGACGGCCUUCGGGUUGUAAACUACUUUCGCUAGGGACGAAGCGCAAGUGACGGUACCUGGAGAAGAAGCACCGGCUAACUACGUG
This 465-nucleotide ribosomal RNA is filed under the name uncultured bacterium. RNAcentral describes it as "partial 16S ribosomal RNA". It matches the Rfam family "Bacterial small subunit ribosomal RNA", at positions 28 to 507 of the family's 1533-position model. The record is from RNAcentral.